GAUGAACGCUGGCGGCGUGCCUAAUACAUGCAAGUCGAGCGAACGGACGAGAAGCUUGCUUCUCUGAUGUUAGCGGCGGACGGGUGAGUAACACGUGGAUAACCUACCUAUAAGACUGGGAUAACUUCGGGAAACCGGAGCUAAUACCGGAUAAUAUUUUGAACCGCAUGGUUCAAAAGUGAAAGACGGUCUUGCUGUCACUUAUAGAUGGAUCCGCGCUGCAUUAGCUAGUUGGUAAGGUAACGGCUUACCAAGGCAACGAUGCAUAGCCGACCUGAGAGGGUGAUCGGCCACACUGGAACUGAGACACGGUCCAGACUCCUACGGGAGGCAGCAGUAGGGAAUCUUCCGCAGUGGGCGAAAGCCUGACGGAGCAACGCCGCGUGUGCGAUGAAGGUCUUCGGAUCGUAAAACUCUGUUAUUAGGGAAGAACAUAUGUGUAAGUAACUGUGCACAUCUUGACGGUACCUAAUCAGAAAGCCACGGCUAACUACGU
RNAcentral lists this ribosomal RNA (496 nucleotides) under uncultured bacterium. RNAcentral's name for it is "partial 16S ribosomal RNA". It matches the Rfam family "Bacterial small subunit ribosomal RNA", at positions 28 to 506 of the family's 1533-position model. The record is from RNAcentral.